RNAcentral lists this ribosomal RNA (498 nucleotides) under Abisara echerius. RNAcentral describes it as "partial 16S ribosomal RNA". Lineage: Eukaryota; Metazoa; Arthropoda; Insecta; Lepidoptera; Riodinidae. The record is from RNAcentral.
AAACAUGUUUUUUUGAUAAUAAUUUAAAGUUUAAUCUGCCCACUGAUAAUUAUUAAAGGGCUGCAGUAUUUUGACUGUACAAAGGUAGCAUAAUCAAUAGUCUUUUAAUUGAAGACUAGUAUGAAAGAUUGAAUGAAAUAUAAACUGUCUUUUUAAUAAAAUUAAAAAUUAAUUUUUUAGUCAAAAAGCUAAAAUGAAUUUAAAAGACGAGAAGACCCUAUAGAGUUUUAUAAUUAAAUUUAUUUUUUUAAAAUAUAAAUAAUUUAAAAAAAAAUAUAUUUAAUUAUUUUGUUGGGGUGAUAAAAAAAUUAAAUAAACUUUUUUUAAAAUUUAACAAAAAUAAUUGAAUAAGUGAUCCAUUAAUUAUGAUUAAAAGAAUAAAUUACCUUAGGGAUAACAGCGUAAUAUUUUUUUUUAGUACAAAUAAAAAAAAAAGUUUGCGACCUCGAUGUUGGAUUAAGAUAAAAAUUAAAUGCAAAAGUUUAAAAUUUUGAUCUG